Solanum pennellii is the source of this 406-nucleotide long non-coding RNA. RefSeq lists it as uncharacterized. The transcript is spliced from 3 exons. The record is from RefSeq and is a predicted model, not a curated record. NCBI's taxonomy places the organism in Eukaryota, Viridiplantae, Streptophyta, Magnoliopsida, Solanales, Solanaceae.
UUUUCUUCUUUUGAUAUAAGAUCCAAAGCUUUUGGACCAGAAAAUUGUAUGAUUUUGUUUGGGGAUGCUAUAGUUAUUUGGAGAAGCACAAAGCCAAAGUAGAUAUAUUCUUUGAUAUGCAGUCUUAAUUGGGAGUAUCGACGAAGAUGUAAUCAAACGGAGACCCGCACAACAAAGAGGUACAAUCAUACAGUCAGUGGAUCAUAUCCUCUGUUUGGGUUUUUCACGUUCACUACGCGGUGGCACCUUCAAGGUCAUUUAUCUCUAUGUAUCUCUUUGUCUUUACACAAUUAUAAGAGGUGAGAAUUGAAUCAAGACUACUUGAAAGCUAAAUGUAGCCACAUUUUUAUACUUUAGAAGAAACUCCAGGUAUUUGUCUUACUUUAAGGAGUAAUAUUUAGUAAUC